UGAAACAAAAAGUACGACUGACGAAAUCCCCAAAUCCAAAUCGCCUACAAGGCUUCUCUAAUACGAAUCGAUCAAGCUUCUGAUCAAUUCUACCUCCCCCAAGUCUAAAUCGCCUGCAAAGACAUCCCCCUUUAUGUUCCACUCUCAAUUAAUCGACCAGGCUUCUGAUCAAUUUCUACCUCCCCCAAAUCCAAAUCGCCUGCAAAUACCUCCCCCAUGAAUCGACUGCAACUGCAAAUCCCAUGGCUUCUUGUUCAUAUUUGGUAAAGUAUUCGAUUCGAGCAACUUCUUGUUGUGUUAACUUGAACAUACAUAUGGUGUUGAAUUUAGUUUGUUAUGUUCGAAGUUGGAUUUGUAACUAUGAAUUUUUUGUUGAUUUGUAAUUUUGAUUGAAUUAUGUUAUUUGUAAUUUUGGGAUUAGCUAGAUGUGGAAGAACUGUAGAUUGAGAUGGAUGAAUUAUCUUCGACCGACGGUUAAACACGGUAAUUUUAGUAAAGAACAAGAAGAUUUUAUCUGCAAGUAUCAUAGAGAAAUGGGAAACAAGUAUGUGUGAUCGUAUUGUGCCGCAGAUGGUCAGCCAUUGCUGCAAAAUUACCUGGAAGAAGUGAUAACGAGAUUAAGAACCAUUGGCACACGCACCAGAAAAAACGCAUACCUGAACACACGUUCUAGAUGUUCUGAAAAAAGAAGAGGGUUCUGGUGAACAGAUUAUGCAAUUUGACAGAUUAUGUGCUGCUUCAUAAGACGCUCAUGGGGUCGAUAAUGGAAGACAUUGUGGCGACCCUCUUUGGCUGGCAUUAAGAGAGAAAGAGAAGCAAGGUUGCAAAGAAAAGCGGAUGCAACUAUUAAAAGAGAAAGAGCCAUGGCAUACGCAAGCCGAUGGAUAAAGCAAGAAAAGCAUCUUUUUUUAUUGAUUGUUAUGGUUUCAGUUUUCUUUUUUUAUUGACUGUGUUGUUUUAACAGGGGUGUGUAGUGCUAUUAUUGUAUAUGAUGGAUGAAUUGAUGUGAGUGUGUUAAUAAAUAGAGAAUAAUUUUUGU
This 1039-nucleotide long non-coding RNA is filed under the name Helianthus annuus (common sunflower). Its description in RNAcentral is "hypothetical non coding rna". The record is from RNAcentral. Lineage: Eukaryota; Viridiplantae; Streptophyta; Magnoliopsida; Asterales; Asteraceae.